Molecule: ribosomal RNA, 439 nt
Filed under: uncultured bacterium
Lineage: Bacteria
Description: partial 16S ribosomal RNA
Rfam family: Bacterial small subunit ribosomal RNA
Source: RNAcentral
CUACGGGACGCAGCAGUGAGGAAUAUUGCACAAUGGAGGAAACUCUGAUGCAGCAACGCCGCGUGGAGGAUGACGCAUUUCGGUGUGUAAACUCCUUUUAUAUGUCAAGAAAAUGACGGUAGCAUAUGAAUAAGCACCGGCUAACUCCGUGCCAGCAGCCGCGGUAAUACGGAGGGUGCAAGCGUUACUCGGAAUCACUGGGCGUAAAGGACGCGUAGGCGGGAUAUCAAGUCAGGUGUGAAAUCCUACAGCUUAACUGUAGAACUGCACUUGAAACUGGUAACCUAGAGUAUGGGAGGGGGAGAUGGAAUUAGUGGUGUAGGGGUAAAAUCCGUAGAUAUCACUAGGAAUACCUAAAGCGAAGGCGAUCUCCUGGAACAUAACUGACGCUAAGGCGUGAAAGCGUGGGGAGCAAAUAGGAUUAGAUACCCCUGUAGUC